This 166-nucleotide ribosomal RNA is filed under the name uncultured bacterium. Its description in RNAcentral is "partial 16S rRNA". It matches the Rfam family "Bacterial small subunit ribosomal RNA", at positions 352 to 511 of the family's 1533-position model. The record is from RNAcentral.
CAGUAGGGAAUCUUCCACAAUGGACGAAAGUCUGAUGGAGCAACGCCGCGUGAGUGAAGAAGGGUUUCGGCUCGUAAACUCUGUUGUUAAAGAAGAACAUAUCUGAGAGUAACUGUUCAGGUAUUGACGGUAUUUAACCAGAAAGCCACGACUAACUACGUGCCAG